RNAcentral lists this unclassified non-coding RNA (3471 nucleotides) under Daphnia pulex (common water flea). RNAcentral's name for it is "toll-like receptor 2, transcript variant X5". The record is from RNAcentral. Lineage: Eukaryota; Metazoa; Arthropoda; Branchiopoda; Diplostraca; Daphniidae.
CACCCCAUUUGUAAUAGUCGUAAUAACACACCAUCUCAAGUCCGUGUGCAUUUUAUGUGUUACGAGCAACAAGCUGAAAUUCCUGCAUAGCUGUAAUGUACUUAAUGACACCUAUUCUUCCAUCCACCUGUGUUGAUCUUAAAAGGAUUGACUCACGGGGAAGCGGACAAGCGGCCCGCACCAAUUCUUACGCCGACCGGAGUGUGCCUGAGUUGAAAUUGCUUUUGAGUCCCAGCACUUUCCGUCGCAAUGCCAACUAUCAACCGGAGAAUUGAUGAUGAAACUCGGAACCUUUUGCUCUCUUUCUCUCCCUGUCUCUCUCUAUUCGACACGGUCCAACAGCGAUGUAAGGAGUCCGCCUGCCGUAUCGGCGCCAUGUUUCACAACCCAUUAGAAAAAUCACAAGUGCUUUUGAAACCGAAUCCUCGCUUGAAGAAAAUUGAACAUGUUACCACUUUAUCUCAUUCCGCAAUUUAAAGCCAUGUUACUUAAUAUGGGUGCUGGUUAUCCUUAAAGAUUUGUUUCUUAUUGAAAUUAACGGUUUGUUUGACUUUUUAACGACGCGUUGGACGUUGACCCAUGACAUCACUAGAAAUCAAUUCGACAGUUUGAUUUGAGCCGCUCUGAAAUGAAGUUUACGGCAUUGCCACAUUUCCCGUGGAAUCUCUGCAGAGCAGACGAAAAUUUUUCUUUCGAUUUCAGUUUGAGUUUGACUCCGAGUCGGGAGAGGACAGACUACAUAUUCUGUGAGCUGAGAACUGAGAUCUUGAUAGUCAUUGUAUCGUUCAUUCUCCAAUGAUUUGGGUUCAAGGAUUUCAUGUGCAACUAUCCACCUGGAAAGAAUUCAGGGUAGCUUCCUCCCUCCCAAGUCCCAUCCAUCCAUGGAUGAAUCUGUUGGCUGUCAGCCAAAUUAUGUCAUCCAGCCCCCAGGUGGCGCGAGCGUCGUCGUGGGGAACGAAAAUCCCGCAUUGGUUUCCGACUUUCCGAGAUGCUGAGUGAUAAUGUUUUCCAAAUUCAUUACGUAUUUACGGUAAUCCGUAAACCCCACCGGUGGUCACUCAGACACUCACCCGUUGUGAUAACCAGGAGGAUGAGGAGGGCUCUGGUGCGGCUAUACAUGUACUUCCGCUGCGACACACACCUGUAGUCACUCACUACGGAAUUAUUGCCCAGGCCCUUCUUGCGAGUCGCUAACGAAGUGUUGCGAGUGCACGAGAGAAUUGAAAAAGCUGCUGCAAGUCACUUUCUCGUCUUAAAAGCCCAAUGAGACUUUGGAAUCUGGGGCUUAACAUCUGAAGUAAAAAUCAGAUUGAAUGAGAAAUCUAUUUAAUUGGUUUAUCCAUCAAGUUGGCCUAGUAAGCCGAAGUCCUGAUGGAUUUGGUCUUUGAAUUUUUUUUUAUUAAUGUUAGGUUUGCUGGCUUGGGUACUGAAGAGAACAUCUGGCGGCUAGAUUUGCCAGUUGUUGGGGCGUAGUGGAAGUAAGCUAGCCCCUUAAUUUAUCUUCUUCUAAGUUCUGAUCUUCUUGGUUUUCCCUUCCCUGUGUAGUUGAAAUGUGGGAUUUGAAAAUUAAAGCCGUCAUUAUUAAUUUCAAUUGCCCUAUUACCGUUCAGAAUAUGCACUUUAUGUACAUAUAUUAUAAUCUUAAUAAAAAGUUAUAUAUUAAAAAACCUGUAGAAUAAUCUUCAGUAAAAAAACCAUGUUUCAUAAAUACAGAGCAACAGUUGCAAAGCCAAUAUUUAUUUUGUGCAAGUAACAUAGGUUAGGUUGUUAUAUAUUAUUUACCUGUCCCAGAUUUAUCUUACUAGUAGCUUUUUUUCUCAUUGCAUGCCUAAAUGCUAGUCAAUUUGUUUAAACUCACACAUGCAGUCAAUCAAGAAAGGGAAGAAACUGCAUUGAUUGAUUGAUUGUGCCAAGGAGCUACCUGGACAAAGGAAUAAGAGAGAUGAGUGCGAAGCCAUUUUAGCUAGGGAACAAUUAGAAGUAGAAGGUUUCCAGGUUAGACUCAUGAUUCUCCAAAGUUUUCAUUAAAUCAUACACCUUCCAAGUCCUCGUUCGACCAGGGCCCUCAUCCUCAUCCCAGUGGGUGAGUGCUCACCGGUGAGCGUUGGUUAGUGCUGUCAGUUUCCAAAGAACUGUAACGGUGGUGAGAAUCUGGCCCUGAAAGGCGAGAAUAUUUAGAUAUAAAUUUCAAUAAAUAUAUAGCAACAGCAAGCAAUACCUCAAAUCUAUCAAUGUUACAUUGUCCUUGAUUAGAACUAAGUGGCAGUCACCACAACCUCUUGAGUGGCAGUAUUAUUUUGCUGAUUAUCUACAAAGGGAAGAGAUAGCAGCAAAGAAUUGGAUCUGGGGAAGGCAUCAAUAUCUUGAAGAUUUACCACAAUUUGACAGGGGAAGUUAACCUGAAAUAUUAUCAUAAAAAUUAAAUGAAAGUAGAAACUAUUUAGCUUUGGAAGACAUAACUUGCAUUAUUGGAUUGGAUAACUUGAUUUCUAUUAUCACAAGCAUCUAGGUCGCAAGAAAACUUCAGCUGAAAUUUAAGCUGACACAUUAAGUCAGAAAGCAACAAGAACAAUUAGUUGUAUGUUGUGUUAUCUAUUAAUUGAAAACGGUCCAACUUACCUAAAAAAUCCUAAUCUAAAUUUGUUUAGAUUUUUUAAAGUAACUUAUGAUGUGUUUUGUAAACAUUGUGUAACUUAGGACCAGACGAAGCCAGACAAGCCAAUGCUGCUCUCCAAUUAUCAAUGGUCUUCGAAAACCUACAGAAGAAAAGAAAAAUUUAUCACAGAUAAGGAAAAAUGCAGAAUGACAGGAAUAAAGCUAAAAAGGUGAUACAGGUGAUUAUUAAUUUAAUUAGAUGCCCAGUCCCUAGAGUUGGGAUUGAAUGAGCCAGGAACAUGCUGUUGUUGUCAGAUAGGGUAGUGUGGAAAGGAUUUUUCAUCUUCGCCAUCAUUUGUGAUUGACUUUACAUUUGCUGUUGCCUUGUAGUAUGUAGCCUAGUAGUGUCCAAGUGAAUAGAAACACAUUCUGAAUAACUGGCAGGUUUACCUUACCAACUGGGUGGUUUUCCCUUUCAGCUGUCCACUGUCCAGCAUUGUUGCCCAGCUGCUGAAACGUCUGGAAUACAUGAACGGAUAUCUGUCAUUCUGUCUUGAGUGCCUUCUCCUCACGUGUAGAAGUUGAAGUGGCGUUCAAUAUCACCUUGGGGAUUUCGUCUUUUGUGAUGUGUGAUGCUGCGUGGUGGCUUUAUGAUGAAUUUAGCAUGGAGAAUAUUACGAGAAUUUGUGUAAGGGGCAUGCAGCCUAGUGUCAAGUAUUGUGUUAUAAAUCCUAGCACAGACUGAUCCUAGUAUCCUACUGUCAUCCAAAUGACAGAGGUAACAACCAACACUAGCUUUAGUACAGUAUUGCUGAGACAAAAAUAUUGUUCUCAUCUUUUAUUUGGAUUCAUCAUAAUUAUCGACUGAUUUUAUUG